AAUAUGUCCCUUUUGUCUUCUGCUGCAGUCUUUAAUGCAGUGCCUCAUAUUAUGACUACAGAAGCAACUCAAAGCUUUGUUCUCAGCCAAGCCCCACCGAUAAGCCAUGAGACUGCACGCAGCCCUUUAGAACCACUCUGCUGCUGUCCAGACAGAUACAAAACGGGUGGCUGCGCUGCCGCCUGCCGUACCAACGUGCUGCAGCCCCCCCUCAAAGGCAGGCAGGGAGCUGCAGGCUCCACGAUCCGUCUCACCGCCGACGGCGUUUCUGCAACGGUGCCAACUAGUGACUCUUUGGGCUGGUGGCUUCUGGAAGUGGGUGUCUGCCUGCUAAGCCUGCGGCAUCGCUGUUCCAGGGUGCCAGGGCUGUUACGUCUAUGUACCAACAAAAAAGCAACGAAACGACUAAAAAUGUAACAAAUUAUAAAGGCAGUGGUUAAGGUAAGAUUUUAUAAUAACUUAUGUAAAGGUAUUCUUAUAAACCCUUCCUUACACAGUAUAGUACCCAAACAAAUAAUGGUCCCAAUGACAUCAAAUUCCUUCAUUUUGUUUAAAAGUGACCAUGAAAAGGUUUCUGCUUUGCUACCUGAUCUCACCUUUCUCCCCUCAAAAAAAUCAGUGUAAGAGAAACACAUAUAAUACAAUUUUUUGGCAUUGAUUCUAUGCACAGGCCUAUGGUUCAGCCUUGGUAUAACAAAUAUCUGUAGCAGAGGGAAAAAUUCCCUCAAAUAUGAUAAAGAAAUCUUAAUUUUUUUCCUCAAGUGCAAGGCUUGGCAUACCAGUUUGUUUAAAAAUACAUAUAUAUAACACUUCCCCCCCAUUUUAAACUAUUUUAUGAAAACUAAUUCAACUCCCAAAAGUGUUUAUAAAAAUUGAUUAAAAGAACAAAAUAGUUGUUUGGUUACAAUAUAGAAACCAAAGAGUUCAGGGCACGGUAAUGGUACAUUUGAAACCUGUUUCAAUCCAAAUCUUCUAAUAAAACCAAAGUUUGUAUGUUUUGGGAACA
This 1006-nucleotide long non-coding RNA is filed under the name Apteryx owenii (little spotted kiwi). RNAcentral describes it as "lncRNA (ENSAOWG00000007457.1)". The record is from RNAcentral. Lineage: Eukaryota; Metazoa; Chordata; Aves; Apterygiformes; Apterygidae.